UCCUGGAUCGUCACACUGCCCGUUUUGUCGAACUCUUCAAAUCUAAGCAUGGAGUUGUUGGCGAGAGGCUCCAAGAACUCGUGGGACAAACGGACCUAAACGAAACAAGAUGUGGUGGCUCUAUGCACACUAAUACUCCGCGGUCUCCCAAUCCUUCUUGGUGAUGCCCCCACAGACUUUUACAACACCUGCUUGGAUUCUGAUGGUGACGACGUGUUGGCCAACGUCUCCUUUGGGACUUUGACUGUCAUUGAAGACGAUGGCAUACCACCCGGACCCAACCUCCUCUACCUGGAGUCAGUGUCAACUGGAAUUAUCAGUGAGGGAAGUAUUGUGAUGGAUGACCUGAAAACAUUGC
Engraulis encrasicolus (European anchovy) is the source of this 358-nucleotide long non-coding RNA. RefSeq lists it as uncharacterized. The transcript is spliced from 3 exons. Lineage: Eukaryota; Metazoa; Chordata; Actinopteri; Clupeiformes; Engraulidae. The record is from RefSeq and is a predicted model, not a curated record.